CGGCUCCACCCUGUCAGCACCAAUAAGCUGUGGGAGUGGUGGAAAGUGAGUGUAGCGGGUUGGGGAGAAGAGACUGGCGGAGUGGCAAGCUGAGUCCGUGGCUGAAGGAGACACGUGGAGCCAGAGAUGAGAGGACGUGCCCGGGAGCUGCGGCUGAGAGUAAAGUCGCCAGUUUACCAGGUCACCUUUUAAAGAGAUGCUCUCUGUGCAAGGCAGGCUGCUAAGAGGGGAGUUUCGAGAUAUCUGUGUAAGGCACAGCGCUGACUGAUUUCCUAGUGAUAACAAGCCUAACGGAAGCAAGACUAACUUAUUAACAACGUCGAAAGUAGCCUAUUUUAAGAGAAAAUAUGCAGAAGAAGAAAAUUUACAUCAAGAUUACCAGGGGUAUUUUCCAAAACACUUGAUAUCGCCUGAAGACCGAGCUUGUAUUCUCAAACUCUCGCUCGAUAAGCUUCGCUUCCUAGAAGACCCAGAGAACUACUUGCGGAGGUCAGUGCUGAUCAAUAAUCUGCUCCGGAAGAUCCACCUCGAGGCUGACAGAGAGAAAUAUGAAUAUUACAAAGAAAGCGCUGGCUGCAAAGCCGCCUUCUCUGAUGCAAGAAAACGGCUGAAGCAAAUGGUUAAGGGUUGCUGUCCUCAGACCUUGUAUUAUGAAGAGCUGCAUUCAUAUCGGAUGGUGCCUUACGUUGCGGAAAAUGUCAUUUAUGGAAUGGGCUACACAAACAGCUCGCUGGCACAAAAUCCUCCGCUGCUAAUGUAUACGGUGAAAGAGUGACUUUGCAGUUUUUGCAGAUGGAAGAAGGGCCUUCUGAUGGCCCACGCAGUAAAGCUAUCGCUGAUAAUGAGAAUUAGUAGGCUCUUAUGAAAUCCUAGAAUGCACUUGUGUCCAUUAUUGUGGUAAAGUCAAUGCAGACACUGAAUUUUGGUAGUGUAUGGAAGAUUUAAUGCCUUCGAUAUUUCUCCUGUACAUUGUAUGUGUGUAUCAGUAAGCCACAGCUCAAAUGUUGCAGCUUUUCUAUGGCAAAGUGCAAGCAGCUGUGUUUUGUCUCUUAGAGAUAUGGUUUUACCAUCAAUAGAGCUUUGCUGUAUUUCAUCUGUAUCUUUAAGCUAAACAAAUUUAAAUAUUUUUGUAAACUCAUAUCCAAAGGGUUGAGCCCUCCCCGCCAUACAUUUUUGAGAUAUUUUAAUAAGAAACAUUUUAUGACAGAUUUUGCUAUAGCGUUAGAUUUUAGGAAUUCGAGGUGCACUAUGCUAAACCAAUGCCUACUUUAUUAUGAAUCCUGCAUUUUAAUCUCCCUUAGAAUACCAUGGAUAUCCAGCCUGCAGCCCUUGAGAUAUUGCUGAUCUACAACUGCCCUUGACUGCAGAAGACUUUAUGGAAAUGUUGGGAGGUCAGUUAUAGUUUGAGGGCUGCAACUUGAUGAUCCUUAUUGUAGGCCCAUUAACUGCCAGUGGAGACUCAGAUAAAACCAAAGACAAUAUUGGCUAAGAACACUUAAAUAUAGUCAGGGAGCAUAAACUUGUAAACAAGGAAUCAUAAACGUUAAUUGAUCUGUAGAGCACUGCCAAACCUCCACCUGAACUGAAACUGCCUGUCUGUGAAACAGAAUAUUAUAUGUUGAGUUGAGAAAAUGGUUCUACUUUACAUGUUGUGUUGCUGACAAUACAUUUUGUUUACAAUUAUGUAAUAUGUUAAUUUAUUUUUCUCUUGUCAUGUCGUAACAUGAAAUCUGCACAUUCUUGGGGCUGUUGAUGAAGUCAGUCUCUAUUUGGUAUAUCUGUGAGAAGCUGAAUCAGGUUCUCUGUGGCUGUACACAAUAAAAAUAGUGGAUAAGAAGCAAA
Molecule: long non-coding RNA, 1842 nt
Organism: Xenopus laevis (African clawed frog)
Lineage: Eukaryota; Metazoa; Chordata; Amphibia; Anura; Pipidae
Exons: 4
Source: RefSeq, a predicted model, not a curated record